This 492-nucleotide ribosomal RNA is filed under the name Blastocystis sp. subtype 3. RNAcentral describes it as "SSU rRNA". It matches the Rfam family "Eukaryotic small subunit ribosomal RNA", at positions 509 to 1008 of the family's 1831-position model. Lineage: Eukaryota; Bigyra; Opalinata; Blastocystidae. The record is from RNAcentral.
UUGGAUUGAGACAACGUACAAACCUUAUCGAUAAACAAUUGGAGGGCAAGUCUGGUGCCAGCAGCCGCGGUAAUUCCAGCUCCAAUAGCGUAUAUUAACGUUGUUGCAGUUAAAAAGCUCGUAGUUGAAAUGAAGGGUAGUUGUGUAAUGAAUACAUUCGUGUAUUUUGUUAUUCUACUACCCUCCUUCUAAAUUCGAUAUAUGAGUAUUAAUUUACUUGUAUAUGGUUUUAGACGUUUACUGUGAGAAAAUUAGAGUGUUCAAAGCAGGCAUUUGCUUGAAUAUAUUAGCAUGGAAUAAUCAUGUAUGAUUUUCAUGAUGUAUUUGAUUGGUUUGGUUCAUGAGAAUAAGAUUAAAAGGGACAGUUGGGGGUAUUCAUAUUCAAUAGUCAGAGGUGAAAUUCUCGGAUUUAUGGAAGAUGAACAAGUGCGAAAGCAUUUACCAAGGAUGUUUUCAUUAAUCAAGAACGAAAGUUAGGGGAUCGAAGAGGAU